AGGGCGUUAUGAUGAUGGCAUUUAUUUGCCAAGUCUAGUCCUAAGGUUAUGUUAGCACCACAGCAUAAC
This 69-nucleotide non-coding RNA is filed under the name Latilactobacillus sakei subsp. sakei 23K. Its description in RNAcentral is "L17 ribosomal protein downstream element". It matches the Rfam family "L17 ribosomal protein downstream element". The record is from RNAcentral. Lineage: Bacteria; Bacillati; Bacillota; Bacilli; Lactobacillales; Lactobacillaceae.